GGAGCGAUGGUGUAGUUGGUUAUCACGUCUGUCUAACAUCUGAGAAUGUUCACAGACGGUCCUCAGUUCGAACCUGGGUCGCUUCA
Molecule: non-coding RNA, 86 nt
Organism: Ceratobasidium sp. AG-Ba
Lineage: Eukaryota; Fungi; Basidiomycota; Agaricomycetes; Cantharellales; Ceratobasidiaceae
Source: the annotation of a GenBank genome assembly